CUUAUAAUUUGUUUUAUGCAAUGUUUUAGAAGACUUAUUUAUUGCAUUGAGUAUUCAGUUUGUUUGCAUUACUUCAUCCCAGAGAACAAUAUGUUUGAAAAUAAAAUUGAGGGCCGUGAUCGUCAAGUACUAUUAGAAAAACUAUAUACCUUGCAUAGUUACGAUUGGCGAUGCAUUUUAUUUUCAGAUCAAGUAUCAGAGUUUCAAGAACUCGUGCGGUAUUUUAACAUGGAUCAGCACCUAUCGUUUGCAUUUCAUGUUGAAAACACAACUAGUUCCUUGAUAUUGAAGUUAGCUCAUAUGAAUUUCCUCUUAGGUUUCAAUGCGAAUAACGCAUUGCUUUGUUCUUCGUAUAUAAGAGCAAUACAAAAGUCAUUUUCAUGUGACCAAACUUUGAUCAAAUACUUUUAUACAUAUUACAUGUCAAUGAUCUGUUCCAUUCGUGCCCAGUAUAUUCCACUUAACAGUACACACAGUAACAAUAAAUACCAAUACCGACAGUACACGUCCUGUCUUUGUAUUCUGCUGCAGAAUAUCUAUCAUGACGCUGUAUCUGGAUGGCUGAUGUUAGCUUCGUUCUUUUAUAAAACAAAACAAUACGCAAAAGCUUUGCGAAUCAUCAUGUAUUCUUUAUCGAAAUGCACUUUUGACAAACUUAACUGGGGUAUGUCGGAUAUUAAUCACCGAUGGUUGAAACUGAAAUCAGUGCAGAAUAUGUGUAUUGUUCGCCCAUGGAAAUUACUACUUGUAGAUACCAUCAGUUUUUAUAAAUACUCUCAUUUGUUACCAGACGAACUGCUUUCAAGGACAAAGAAUACACAUGUUUCGUUUCAGCGUAUGCUUAUUUCCUCAAAUUUCUUUGUCAUUAUCAUCUAAAUAAUGGCCGACACUGUCAGGAUGACCUUGACGAUCUACGACUUGUUAUAGAAGAACAUUAUUUAAUGGCAGAUUUGAUUAUGAUAGCAUCACCAUAUGGCCUCAGAUCACAAUUAAUUCCCUUUGUUCGUGGUCUAGGAAUAUAGUUCCCAAUUAUUAUAUGGGGUAUUUCUUCCCAAGUAAUCUGUCUACUGUUUUCUUUGAAAUGUUUACUAUUUAAGUGGUCCUAUCAGUUGCAUAUAUAUUGAAAUAAGUAAAACAUGUGGAAAAAAAUUAUUGUUGAAAGUGAAAGUAGUGAUUUGGCCAAAAUGAAAGUAGGGUAGAAAUCAGCCUUCGUCAUUUAUUCAAGAUUCCAAUCCUACCAUUGGCAUGCUAAUAGGGCCCUCAAAAGAAAAAGCACUGAUGGAUUGUCCUGGGACAAGCAUAUUUUAUUAGAAUAAUAAUGGUCUAUAAGCAGUUAAAUUUAUUUCAUGUUUGUAGCGGUGCAAAUUUUUUAAUUCAAUUUGACUUUAACUAAAAAAUGCAUUGUAGCCAAGGGGAAGAAUAAUUGUGUUCUGAGGCCUAGGAGAUGAGUUUGGACAAAACACAAUUAUUGUAAAUAAAGGGUCUAACAGGUAACAACAUGAUCUUUGUCUGAUUACUUUUCAAGAAAGAAAACAGAAAUUACACAAAGUCUAUCAAAAUAAGACAUUUUUACCAUAUUUGGGCAUAUGAGGCAGAUAUUGGCAUUUUUUAAAGUUUACAUGAUUUCUAAUGAAAAUUAAAGGAAUAAAAUUGUGAGAAUGUACCACAUUACUUCAUUAAAUCAUAAGGGUACCUUAUAAAUGCAAUUUAAUAAGGUUUUACAAAACUGAGUUGAUCCUGGGACAUAACAUGACAUACAAAGACAUUUAAAAAUAAUGAAAAAUAAAAUGUUUUAAAAAAUUUAAAAGUGUCAAGUCUAAAUUACUUUUAGUUGUUUAGAAGUAAAUAACCAAUAGGUGGGAUAGAUUGAAGGGAAUAAAUCAAUUUUUUAGUGUUUAUUCAUCCACAAUUAUGCUUUUUAUGUCUGUACCUUUAUCAUACUGACCAAUUCUGAUUUAAUACACAUAGAGAUAUAGAUAUGAAAAAUAAUGGCAUAUAAGUGGCAGUUUGCUUUAGCAGUUGUCUCAUUUCAACUAAAUACAAGUUAUGUUAACUGGAUCAAGGCUUAUUUUGGGAAAACAAUACCAAAAAAAUAUUUUCUGAAUAAAAUUUUGACUGAAUUCUUAAAACUUUGCAAAUAGCAUGUUCCGCAGACAUAUAUACUAAUAUAAAAACAUUCCAAACUUUUUUAUUAUUUGUCAGAAUGUAAUAAAAUUUGGCAUUUAUACUACUAAGAUAUAAUGCUAAGUAACUGUAAAGUUUCAUAUGGAUACUUUAAUUUUUUGAGGUCUAAUAGGCCUCAGAUCACAAUUAAUUCCCUUUGUUCGUGGUCUAGGAAUAUAGUUCCCAAUUAUUAUAUGGGGUAUUUCUUCCCAAGUAAUCUGUCUACUGUUUUCUUUGAAAUGUUUACUAUUUAAGUGGUCCUAUCAGUUGCAUAUAUAUUGAAAUAAGUAAUACAUGUGGAAAAAAAUUAUUGUUGAAAGUGAAAGUAGUGAUUUGGCCAAAAUGAAAGUAGGGUAGAAAUCAGCCUUCGUCAUUUAUUCAAGAUUCAAAUCCUACCAUUGGCAUGCUAAUAGGGCCCUCAAAAGAAAAAGCACUGAUGGAUUGUCCUGGGACAAGCAUAUUUUA
Molecule: long non-coding RNA, 2628 nt
Filed under: Mytilus galloprovincialis (Mediterranean mussel)
Lineage: Eukaryota; Metazoa; Mollusca; Bivalvia; Mytilida; Mytilidae
Source: RNAcentral